RNAcentral lists this ribosomal RNA (301 nucleotides) under uncultured bacterium. Its description in RNAcentral is "partial 16S ribosomal RNA". It matches the Rfam family "Bacterial small subunit ribosomal RNA", at positions 509 to 807 of the family's 1533-position model. The record is from RNAcentral.
CAGCAGCCGCGGGAAUACGUAGGGUGCGAGCGUUAAUCGGAAUUACUGGGCGUAAAGCGUGCGCAGGCGGUUAUAUAAGACAGAUGUGAAAUCCCCGGGCUCAACCUGGGACCUGCAUUUGUGACUGUAUAGCUAGAGUACGGUAGAGGGGGAUGGAAUUCCGCGUGUAGCAGUGAAAUGCGUAGAUAUGCGGAGGAACACCGAUGGCGAAGGCAAUCCCCUGGACCUGUACUGACGCUCAUGCACGAAAGCGUGGGGAGCAAACAGGAUUAGAGACCCCCGUAGUCCCUGUCUCUUAUAC